Molecule: ribosomal RNA, 468 nt
Filed under: uncultured bacterium
Lineage: Bacteria
Description: partial 16S ribosomal RNA
Rfam family: Bacterial small subunit ribosomal RNA
Source: RNAcentral
GACGAACGCUGGCGGCGUGCUUAACACAUGCAAGUCGAACGGAAAGGCCCUGCUUUUGUGGGGUGCUCGAGUGGCGAACGGGUGAGUAACACGUGAGUAACCUGCCCUUGACUUUGGGAUAACUUCAGGAAACUGGGGCUAAUACCGGAUAGGAGCUCCUGCUGCAUGGUGGGGGUUGGAAAGUUUCGGCGGUUGGGGAUGGACUCGCGGCUUAUCAGCUUGUUGGUGGGGUAGUGGCUUACCAAGGCUUUGACGGGUAGCCGGCCUGAGAGGGUGACCGGCCACAUUGGGACUGAGAUACGGCCCAGACGCCUACGGGAGGCAGCAGUGGGGAAUAUUGCACAAUGGGCGGAAGCCUGAUGCAGCAACGCCGCGUGCGGGAUGACGGCCUUCGGGUUGUAAACCGCUGUCGCCUGUGACGAAGCGUGAGUGACGGUAAUGGGUAAAGAAGCACCGGCUAACUACGUG